Suncus etruscus (white-toothed pygmy shrew) is the source of this 116-nucleotide small nuclear RNA. RefSeq annotates it as U5 spliceosomal RNA. The record is from RefSeq and is a predicted model, not a curated record. NCBI's taxonomy places the organism in Eukaryota, Metazoa, Chordata, Mammalia, Eulipotyphla, Soricidae. The transcript has a single exon.
ACAAUCUGAUUUUUCUUCUAAUCACUUAAAUCUUGCACCUUUUACCAAAGAUUCCAAUGUAGAGGAACUAUUUUGAGUUUAGAACCAAUUUUUUGAAGUAUUGCUCUUUCAAGCCU